GGGGAAUAUUGGACAAUGGGCGAAAGCCUGAUCCAGCAAUGCCGCGUGAGUGAUGCAGGCCUUAGGGUUGUAAAGCUCUUUUAUCCGGGAUGAUAAUGACAGUACCGGGAGAAUAAGCCCCGGCUACCUCCGGGCCAGCAGCCGAGGUAAUACGGAGGGGGCUAGCGUUGUUCGGAAUUACUGGGCGUAAAGCGCACGUAGGCGGCUUUGUAAGUUAGAGGUGAAAGCCCGGAGCUCAACUCCGGAACUGCCUUUAAGAAUGCAUCGCUUGAACAUCGGAGAGGUAAGUGGAAUUCCGAGUGUAGAGGUGAAAUUCGUAGAUAUUCGGAAGAACACCAGUGGCGAAGGCGACUUACUGGACGAUUGUUGACGCUGAGGUGCGAAAGCGUGGGGAGCAAA
This 399-nucleotide ribosomal RNA is filed under the name uncultured bacterium. RNAcentral describes it as "bacterial SSU rRNA". It matches the Rfam family "Bacterial small subunit ribosomal RNA", at positions 356 to 772 of the family's 1533-position model. The record is from RNAcentral.